AAUUGUCGUUAUCUAUAUCUGAUUUAGUCAUUUCAUAUGGGUAAUUAGAAAUCUGUAUCUACCUUCAGAGAUGGAAAUCAUAACGAUUUCGCAAAGCAUGACACAAAAAUAUGAGCAUUCAUGAUUUAUUUGAUUUUAUCUAUUGUCAAGUAUGCUGUGUGUUUUAUUCUGAUUGUUGUGACUAUAACGUGAUGUCUUACUUUAAUAAAUAAAUUGUCUUCAUAAGGUAAGAUGGGUCUACGACGUGACCAAAAGGGUAUGUGAUUAUAUUAUAAUUAUUCACCAUUUAAAACCUUACGAUGUUAUUUAAAUAUUGUUUUCUUUACUGAGCAUAUAGAACUUACUCUUUCCACGCCCCCCAGAUGAGGAAGAUAGUAAGGAACCAUCAGCUGAACGACCCAUUGAAGUCUAUAAAGAUCCCAUGGAUCUGCAAACCUUGAGUGUAUGAUCGUCCACGCACUCUGAUGAGUCUAAUAGUAUAAUGAUAGAAGUCGUCCUCUUUUGUAUUUUGACAUUGUAUUUUGUAGCCACUUUUAGCCUCAGUUACAUAUAUGUAAUUAGAACUCAUAUAUUU
This 574-nucleotide long non-coding RNA is filed under the name Carica papaya (papaya). Its description in RNAcentral is "long non-coding RNA (CPAP_LNC009081)". The record is from RNAcentral. Lineage: Eukaryota; Viridiplantae; Streptophyta; Magnoliopsida; Brassicales; Caricaceae.